AUGUGUAUCAUUCCCCUAUGGUUUAUAACCCCUGAGUCUGGGGGUAAUGGCACGGGGACCCACCAGCUUGUCUGCCGCCAUCUGGGGUACAGUGCUGGAAGCGGGGAUACAGGGACAAAUAAGACACAGAUCCUGUUCCUAAAGAGAGAAACACAGAGGAGAGACCCAGAGAGAAGGAGAAGGCCGCAUGAAGAUGGAGCAGAGACUGGAGUUAUUCAGCCAAGUCAAGGAAUGCCUGGAGCACCAGAAGCCGGAAGAGGCAAGGAAGGAUCCUCCCUUAGAGCAUUUGGAAGAGUGUGGCCCUGCCAACACCUUGACUUCAAACUUCUGGCCUCCAUAACUAUGAAAUAAAUUCUUGUUGUUUUAAGCCAC
RNAcentral lists this long non-coding RNA (372 nucleotides) under Homo sapiens (human). RNAcentral's name for it is "non-protein coding LINC01702:13". The record is from RNAcentral. Lineage: Eukaryota; Metazoa; Chordata; Mammalia; Primates; Hominidae.